GUGGUGGGUGCCUGUAAUCCCAGCUACUCAGGAGGCUGAGGCAGAGAAUUGCCUGAACCCAGGAGUUGGAGUUUGCGGUGAGCUGAGAUGGCGCCACUGCACUCCAGCCCGGGCAACUGAGCGAGACUCAAAAAACAUCUGGCCAGAAGUCCAGAUGAGGGGAAGUUUCCACACAGAUGUAGGGGCAGUGAAGUGCGUGUCCCUCUGUGAGAAGGAUGUAAACAAGUCCUCCAGGCCCAGCUCCGGGGCUCUCUGGUACUAGCUCCUGGCGCAGAGGGAGGCUCUGAGAACAGGGUUGCUGGGGACAGCCGUGGUAUCUGACCUGCAGGCCUCCAUCGCUCCAUCGUGGCUGUCUGCAACUUCAGCCUCUGCCCGGAAGCUGUGGGGAAAGCUGAUCUGAAUCAUCCGCGAGAGCUUGGGGAGCACCGAGGGGGCAAGCAGGACUGUGGCCAUCAGCGCCCCAAGCAGUGUGAACCCUUCGAGACUGUGGCACCCCUCCUCCUCCUCCAUCCGACAGCUGGCUCCCGAGGGACCUCCCGCAGCCUCAGGGUGAUGCCGGAGAUCUGCGCCACCGAUGUCUUUCCCAUCUGCCCUCCCCAAAAAAGGCUUCCAGGGUGCGUUCCACCGCGGGGCAGGCACCUUUCCGGAAGCAGAGGCCUCCUGGCGUCUUCCACUUGUCUGCGGUGCGCGGAAGGAGAGAGCGCAUGAAAAGCAUCCACUCUGACGUGGGGAGACACGGAAACGGGGAGUGAACGUUUGUGAAGAGACUCUCCAUUUGACAGGGAUUUUAAAAGCCUCCAGCAGUGACUAAGUGUGGAUGGGCGUCCGCGUGGGUAAAUGAACCAGUCCAAGUCAGCAGAGGAGCCAAGUCUCAGAGGGGAGCCGCGCCCUGCACGGAAAGCUCUGCAGCAGUGCGUGGCAGUCCUGUCGGUUAUUCUCUCCUGCAUCUGUACAGGGGACACGCAGUUUAACAAGGCCCCACUGCACACCUCUUCCCAACUCAGCACUGACUGACGUCCCAUUGGGACCUGACAUCAGCCACAGUGGGACUGUUUACACCACAGGAAGUGGCAGAGACCACAAGUCCAGUUUUCUUUGAGAACAUCCCGCUGAUUGCUUUCAAUGGACAGCAGUGACCUUUUCUGACCAGGCCCUUGGUCGGCUCUCCAGUACCAGCCAGAGCCCUGGGACAGCAGGUGACCUCACAUCCGCACCGCUCCCCUCCCUACAACAGCAAGGAGGGCCAGGCCACCCUGGAGUGCCUUUGCCUUGGCGCUUUUCCCUCCACAGCCAUGGGCGAUGGUGCUCGUGGAAGGGAGAGCUCUGGGCAGAAGGAGGAGCUACACCCUCCAGCUCCAAUCCAGGCAAUGCCAGGUCAGCACGUGUAGGGAGGGGCACACACAUUAUAAAAGUUCAUGUCAGAUGGUUGCACAAGACCCCAAGUGAAGGCAUCAAAUGAGAGCUCUCUACCCUUUCUGCAGACCAAGCUGCCCUUCUGCCUGUUACACAGCCUCACCAGGGUACUAAGAGCGGCCCCUCGAUGGGGCACAGCUGGCAGCAACAACCUUUACAAGGUGUCAUCAGGUGCCAACCGGCCAUCACGCCGCCUGCACCCUCAGGAAAUGCUCCUACCCUCAGCCAUGGCUGCGCGUGGGCUCCCCCCCAAGUCACAGGCUCCUCUCAGCCUUCCACUUGGGAAGGCUGCUUCCUCUGUGCCCCCUUCACCUUCCCUUUACUGCCAGUCUUCGAAGAAGAUCCCUACAGAGAGAUUCCAGCACUGUGAGCUGGAAAUGCCCCAGCCUCUAGCAGUAUCACCCAGGAGCCCUGGGCGUACCGCUCCUCACUCUGCCCCAGAAGGAAGGCGGGCACAGCCGGGCCCUGCAGGGGAUUCUGACAAGCUGAGUCUGGGAACUACACUCCCACCCGCCUCCACGGCCUGGACCCAGCACCGGAAGGAGGAGGAUGCAGGGGCUUCCCAGCGCAGUUUCAUUGACUGCUCUUGUGCCUGUACACGGUGCGCACCUGAUAACUGGUUUUCAUCCAAAGGUGAGUUUAAAGAAAAAUUACCACCACCUGCCUUUGCACUCAGAACUGAGAGUAAAACUUUUGAGCCUGCAAACAAAUCUUCCCCCAUGAAUACAGACAAACCGUUUGCUCGGCAGCCCCACCCCGGGUGACAGCAGAGGGUGUUAGGAAUGGAGGUCACCUCCAACACAGCCUUGUUCUGUCAGCUCCCACCUCCUCCCAAAGGGCCUGUGCCUCUGAGCGGCAGUGACCCAAGUGUUGGUGACGGGAAAGAAAAGAGCAAGCUACCCUGGGAAGACCGUGCCACCCACCGGCUGCACCAGGAAGGCCCCACGCCGCUGCAACCUCCUGGCCGCAGCCGCCACAUGCGGGCACUGGCAGGACUCGACCUACCGCCGGUGAGAUCCGGAUGGAGCUCAACCCCAAUGCAGGUCCCGGGGGACUCUGCACUGCCUGGAACCCGGCAAUUUGACAAAGCGUGUGCGCAGUCCUCGUGCCCUGCGUGGUCUCCAGGUGGCGCUCGCGGGGCCUCCAGAGCGCAGGUCCCAGCAGCCGGGCAGCGCAACUCGGGCAGCGCAACUCGGCAACUCACCUGG
Molecule: non-coding RNA, 2621 nt
Organism: Chlorocebus sabaeus (green monkey)
Lineage: Eukaryota; Metazoa; Chordata; Mammalia; Primates; Cercopithecidae
Source: RefSeq, a predicted model, not a curated record